Molecule: ribosomal RNA, 576 nt
Filed under: Staphylococcus aureus
Lineage: Bacteria; Bacillati; Bacillota; Bacilli; Caryophanales; Staphylococcaceae
Description: bacterial SSU rRNA
Rfam family: Bacterial small subunit ribosomal RNA
Source: RNAcentral
CUAGUUGGUAAGGUAACGGCUUACCAAGGCAACGAUGCAUAGCCGACCUGAGAGGGUGAUCGGCCACACUGGAACUGAGACACGGUCCAGACUCCUACGGGAGGCAGCAGUAGGGAAUCUUCCGCAAUGGGCGAAAGCCUGACGGAGCAACGCCGCGUGAGUGAUGAAGGUCUUCGGAUCGUAAAACUCUGUUAUUAGGGAAGAACAUAUGUGUAAGUAACUGUGCACAUCUUGACGGUACCUAAUCAGAAAGCCACGGCUAACUACGUGCCAGCAGCCGCGGUAAUACGUAGGUGGCAAGCGUUAUCCGGAAUUAUUGGGCGUAAAGCGCGCGUAGGCGGUUUUUUAAGUCUGAUGUGAAAGCCCACGGCUCAACCGUGGAGGGUCAUUGGAAACUGGAAAACUUGAGUGCAGAAGAGGAAAGUGGAAUUCCAUGUGUAGCGGUGAAAUGCGCAGAGAUAUGGAGGAACACCAGUGGCGAAGGCGACUUUCUGGUCUGUAACUGACGCUGAUGUGCGAAAGCGUGGGGAUCAAACAGGAUUAGAUACCCUGGUAGUCCACGCCGUAAACGAUGAG